Podarcis lilfordi (Lilford's wall lizard) is the source of this 3108-nucleotide non-coding RNA. The record is from the annotation of a GenBank genome assembly. NCBI's taxonomy places the organism in Eukaryota, Metazoa, Chordata, Lepidosauria, Squamata, Lacertidae.
GAAAAAACCAGAUCACAGCAGGCUGUGUGUGCAGAUGGUAGAUGCAAGUAUAGCCUGGCACCCCAGAUUCAAUGGUGAACCUUCAAAGUCCAGUAGCUGUCUCAGGUUGAGGGCAGACUAGAGAGAAGAGAUAGACUAGGCAGCAACUGAUGGGCAAAGCAGCAGUAGAACAGCCGAGAGGAGACUACAGAAGAAGAGAGGAAGGACAGGAGGAAGCACCCAGCACUUGGAGAGGAAGAGAGAAGGUAAUUUGGAGAGGAGUAGCAAUGCUCGCCUGUACUUGUCCCUGUGACAGUCACCCAGAGUCAUAAGGCAACUCAUGAACCUCAACCCCAAGCAAUGAAAAUUAACUUUCUGGGGCACCUGUAAUAAUGGAAGGGGAAGGGGUCAGACGGAACUAUUAACAAGAUGUCUCAAGUCAAAUCAGAGACUCCCAAGUCUGCAUACUCCGUAAGUUUUUGUAUCCAUUCUUCUUUUGCUGGACCUCCUUCUUCUUUCCAUUUUUGGGCAAGAAACAUUCUUGCCACUGUAGUCUCAUACAUGAAUAAAUUUUGUACUACAAAACCACCAUAUAUGAUAAGGGGUCGUGUCAAACUGUUGGAAGGUUGCAGCACCUGUGGCUGUAGAGACCAACAUGGGAAAGACUUGUUUUGUUGCAGCAGCGGCAGAUGAAGGUGUCCGGUUGUGUUGCUGCAGAUGCACCAUGGUGUUUUUUCUCUCUGUGCUUCUCCCGGCGGUCAUUCCUCCUGUGGUCACUGCUGUGGAUACACAACUGGACUGUUUUUCUCCAGGCUCCGUGGUUGCCUGCAAGGGAUUCCCACAAGACCACGGCAGUUACUGACACAUUGCAAAGAUAUAAAAUGGAGAAAAUUAGACCACAUCUCACCCGUGAAGAAACUAGAACUCCUACAGGAGCACAGAUUAAUGUGUUUCAGAAGAAUAAAAUGAUAUUGAUGGAUGGAUACUGAAAUUACUGGAAGUAGCAUAGGAAGUGAAACUGAGGGGAAAAUACGGAUUGGGAGGAACUGGGCCUAGAAAAGAGCCCUAUCAUUUUAAUGCUUGUCUAUGGAGGUUCUUGAAGCUACGACUAUGGCCCCAAAAUGGAAAAUGAGUGAGGUCCCAACCAAAGAAUAAUGGCAACUCAAGUUGACAGAAUAUGCACAGCUUGCAGACUUAACAUACAGAAUAAGAAGAACAUAAGUUUGGAGAAGAUUGGAAAACGUUGAUUGAAUAUACGGGAAAUAACAGUGUACAGCUGAAAACGCUGGCAGCAUUAAGAUAAAUUCAACAGUGUGCAUAAGUUUUGAUGGAUGAGUUAAUGGAAUACUGCAUGGUAUUGUUUCUGUAAAAUAUGCAGGGAUUCAUUAUAUGUAAAAUGAACCAUGGAAAGAGAAGAAGGGAAGUCACUGAUAUUUUAAGUAUGUAAAAAUGAGUACUUUAAAUUGUAAAACAGAAAAUUUAAUGAAUAUAUAUAUAUGAAGCUACUACUACAGGGCGUUGAGGAAGUAUGACUGUAGUCACUUAGUUCCAGGAAAACAAUGCUGGCUCCAUAUGAAGGAAUCCUCAAUAUGUUUGCGAUCAUCUACACCGCCUGCCCCCUCUUUCUAAAGAGGUUACUCUUGCUUUGACACUACCAAUAAUAGAAGGUUAAAAUGCACCCAAGGAGAAUUUGCUUAGAGGAAAAUAGAAAAGCCAGCUAAUAAGGGCCUCUGCAUAACUGAGUUCAGCUGCAUUUCACCCUGAACUGUUGACAAGGUUAUUAGUGUACAAAGGUUUCAGCCACAGACCUUGUCCUGUAACUCCAAGGUGGUUCUCAUUAAUUUUAAUUGGCAGAAACAUGUGAACAUGGCCUGAUUCUUCCCAACUUCACUUCAAGCCAUAUUGACCACAGCCCACUGAAGCUUUUGGUGCUAGCAUCGUCUCGGAGAGCAGUCCUAACUGGGACAGGGCCAGCCCUACCAUUAUGAAGCCUCAGGCAGAUGCCUCGGGCAACAAAUAUAGGGGGGCAGGCAGCAGUGGAAAGAUCCUGGAGGACAGAGUUGUGUGUGCCCUCUUAAAGGUAAAGGACCCCUGGAUGGUUAAGUCCAGUCAAAGGCGACUAUAGGGUGCAGCGCUCAUCUCACUUUCAGGCUGAGGGAGUUGGCGAUUGUCCACAGACAGCUUUCUGGGUCAUGUGGCCAGCAUGACUAAACUGCUUCUGGCGCAACAGGACACCAUGAUGGAAGACAGAGUGCACGGAAACACUGUUUACCUUCCUGCCACAGCAGUACCUAUUUAUCUAUUGGACUGGCAUGCUUUCAAACUGCUAGGUUGGCAGAAGCUGGGACAGAGCAAUGAGAGGUCACCCCGUCACGUGGAUUCGAACUGCCAACCUUCCGAUUGGGAAGCCCAAGAGGGUGGUGCUGUGGUCUAAGCCCUCUUGGCAAGGCUGCUGCCCUCAGGUGUGGUGGAAGAUGCCAUCUUAUCACCAGUGCUGAAGAAAGCUUAUUAUCAUCCUCCCAGCCACUUUUACUGUGGAAGGGUGGUGCUACUGCUUUUGAGCAGGAGCCAUGGUGGCUGCCCAUUUCAAUUUAUCCAAAAUGGGCUGGAGGAGACUCUUGAGAGUCCCAUGGACUGCAAAAAGAUCAAACCUAUCCAUUCUGAAGGAAAUCAGCCCGGAGUGCUCACUGGAAGGACAGAUCCUGAAGCUGAGGCUCCAGUACUUUGGCCACAUCAUGAGAAGAGAAGAUGCUGGGAAAGAUUGAGGGCCCAAGGAGAAGGGAACGACAGAGGAUGAGAUGGUUGGACAGUGUUCUUGAAGCUACUAAUGUGAGUUUGACCAAACUGCGGGAGGCAGUGGAAGACAGGAGAGGCUGGCGUGCUCUGGUCCAUGGGGUCAUGAAGAGUCGGACACGACUAAAUGACUAAACAACAACGCAGGAAGUUUUGUGAGGAGUAUUAUUGGAAGUAUUGCAAAAAUGGAGAAGGGAAAGGAUGAUUUGUUAAGAGAUGUAAAGUCAAUAUAAAGUUAAGAAAUGCAUAAGAAGUGGUUAAAACGGUGGAUCAUCAGAGGUGCUGAUGGAAGGAUAAAAAGAUUGUAUAAGUGAUACAUUUUAUAAUUUAUAUGUU